This 86-nucleotide transfer RNA is filed under the name Coriobacteriaceae bacterium. RNAcentral's name for it is "tRNA-Leu". It matches the Rfam family "tRNA". Rfam says of the family: Transfer RNA (tRNA) molecules are approximately 80 nucleotides in length. Their secondary structure includes four short double-helical elements and three loops (D, anti-codon, and T loops). Further hydrogen bonds mediate the characteristic L-shaped molecular structure. tRNAs have two regions of fundamental functional importance: the anti-codon, which is responsible for specific mRNA codon recognition, and the 3' end, to which the tRNAs corresponding amino acid is attached (by aminoacyl-tRNA synthetases). tRNAs cope with the degeneracy of the genetic code in two manners: having more than one tRNA (with a specific anti-codon) for a particular amino acid; and 'wobble' base-pairing, i.e. permitting non-standard base-pairing at the 3rd anti-codon position. Lineage: Bacteria; Bacillati; Actinomycetota; Coriobacteriia; Coriobacteriales; Coriobacteriaceae. RNAcentral also lists the same sequence under 3 other names. The record is from RNAcentral.
GCCCGAGUGGUGGAAUGGCAGACACGGAGGUCUCAAAAACCUCUGAGCUCGCGCUCAUGUGAGUUCGAAUCUCACCUCGGGCACCA